CAGUGGCGAACGGGUGAGUAACACGUGAGCAACCUGCCCUGGACUCUGGGAUAAGCGCUGGAAACGGUGUCUAAUACUGGAUAUGAGCUCCUUCCGCAUGGUGGGGGUUGGAAAGAUUUUUCGGUCUGGGAUGGGCUCGCGGCCUAUCAGCUUGUUGGUGAGGUAAUGGCUCACCAAGGCGUCGACGGGUAGCCGGCCUGAGAGGGUGACCGGCCACACUGGGACUGAGACACGGCCCAGACUCCUACGGGAGGCAGCAGUGGGGAAUAUUGCACAAUGGGCGGAAGCCUGAUGCAGCAACGCCGCGUGAGGGAUGACGGCCUUCGGGUUGUAAACCUCUUUAGCAGGGAAGAAGCUUUUGUGACGGUACUGCAGAAAAAGCGCCGGCUAACUACGUGCCAGCAGCCGCGGUAAUACGUAGGGCGCAAGCGUUAUCCGGAAUUAUUGGGCGUAAAGAGCUCGUAGGCGGUUUGUCGCGUCUGCUGUGAAAUCCCGAGGCUCAACCUCGGGCCUGCAGUGGGUACGGGCAGACUAGAGUGCGGUAGGGGAGAUUGGAAUUCCUGGUGUAGCGGUGGAAUGCGCAGAUAUCAGGAGGAACACCGAUGGCGAAGGCAGAUCUCUGGGCCGUAACUGACGCUGAGGAGCGAAAGGGUGGGGAGCAAACAGGCUUAGAUACCCUGGUAGUCCACCCCGUAAACGUUGGGAACUAGUUGUGGGGACCAUUCCACGGUUUCCGUGACGCAGCUAACGCAUUAAGUUCCCCGCCUGGGGAGUACGGCCGCAAGGCUAAAACUCAAAGGAAUUGACGGGGACCCGCACAAGCGGCGGAGCAUGCGGAUUAAUUCGAUGCAACGCGAAGAACCUUACCAAGGCUUGACAUACACCAGAACACCGUAGAAAUACGGGACUCUUUGGACACUGGUGAACAGGUGGUGCAUGGUUGUCGUCAGCUCGUGUCGUGAGAUGUUGGGUUAAGUCCCGCAACGAGCGCAACCCUCGUUCUAUGUUGCCAGCACGUAAUGGUGGGAACUCAUGGGAUACUGCCGGGGUCAACUCGGAGGAAGGUGGGGAUGACGUCAAAUCAUCAUGCCCCUUAUGUCUUGGGCUUCACGCAUGCUACAAUGGCCGGUACAAAGGGCUGCAAUACCGUGAGGUGGAGCGAAUCCCAAAAAGCCGGUCCCAGUUCGGAUUGAGGUCUGCAACUCGACCUCAUGAAGUCGGAGUCGCUAGUAAUCGCAGAU
Molecule: ribosomal RNA, 1241 nt
Filed under: Microbacterium sp.
Lineage: Bacteria; Bacillati; Actinomycetota; Actinomycetes; Micrococcales; Microbacteriaceae
Description: bacterial SSU rRNA
Rfam family: Bacterial small subunit ribosomal RNA
Source: RNAcentral